AGUGAACGCUGGCGGUAGGCCUAACACAUGCAAGUCGAACGGCAGCACAGUAAGAGCUUGCUCUUACGGGUGGCGAGUGGCGGACGGGUGAGGAAUACAUCGGAAUCUACUUUUUCGUGGGGGAUAACGUAGGGAAACUUACGCUAAUACCGCAUACGACCUACGGGUGGAAGCAGGGGAUCUUCGGACCUUGCGCGAUUGAAUGAGCCGAUGUCGGAUUAGCUAGUUGGCGGGGUAAAGGCCCACCAAGGCGACGAUCCGUAGCUGGUCUGAGAGGAUGAUCAGCCACACUGGAACUGAGACACGGUCCAGACUCCUACGGGAGGCAGCAGUGGGGAAUAUUGGACAAUGGGCGCAAGCCUGAGCCAGCCAUACCGCGUGGGUGAAGAAGGCCUUCGGGUUGUAAAGCCCUUUUGUUGGGAAAGAAAAGCAGCAGGUUAAUACCCCGCUGUUCUGACGGUACCCAAAGAAUAAGCACCGGCUAACUUCGUG
RNAcentral lists this ribosomal RNA (492 nucleotides) under uncultured bacterium. Its description in RNAcentral is "partial 16S ribosomal RNA". It matches the Rfam family "Bacterial small subunit ribosomal RNA", at positions 29 to 507 of the family's 1533-position model. The record is from RNAcentral.